UGGGGAAUUUUGGACAAUGGGCGCAAGCCUGAUCCAGCCAUGCCGCGUGCAGGAUGAAGGCCUUCGGGUUGUAAACUGCUUUUGUACGGAACGAAAAGAACUCUGGUUAAUACCUGGGUCCGAUGACGGUACCGUAAGAAUAAGCACCGGCUAACUACGUGCC
Molecule: ribosomal RNA, 163 nt
Filed under: uncultured bacterium
Lineage: Bacteria
Description: partial 16S ribosomal RNA
Rfam family: Bacterial small subunit ribosomal RNA
Source: RNAcentral